AAAUAUCUCUCCGAGCUGCUGUCGCCUAACGCCUUCGGGCCAUGGGGCAGCAGCCGGGGCUGUUACAGGCAGCCCCCAGGGUGAGCGUCGGAAACGGCCUCGCCUUCCUUCUUUGAAAAGGAGAGC
Molecule: non-coding RNA, 126 nt
Filed under: human gut metagenome
Description: Moco (molybdenum cofactor) riboswitch
Rfam family: Molybdenum/Tungsten riboswitch aptamer (Moco RNA motif)
Source: RNAcentral